UUUGAAUAAUGAUUGAAUUUUGAGUGUUAUAAAUUGUUCCCUUGUUUAAGUUAAGCUAUGAAAAUGUUUUUGAGGUUUGGUUAAAUCAGCAUGCUUGUGUUAUAUGUGCUUUUUUUAGUUUGAAAACAAAAGUUUGGUAUACAGUUAUAUUUUUUCAUAUAGUUAGAAAAGUAUGGAUUCAAUUUUGUUCCAUUCUAACCUCACAAAGUAUCAAUUGCAGUAUGGCGUGAAAAUACUUGUUAUGACCUCUUUUAAGGACACCUGCUACAUCGAGAUUCUGCCUAUCAACCAGAAGUCUAAAGGAGCAAUUUUGUAAUUUUUCCCCAUCGUGAAGUGGAAGCUACAGUGACAUUUUCUGUGGAUCUUUUUGCCGG
RNAcentral lists this unclassified non-coding RNA (374 nucleotides) under Hevea brasiliensis (rubber tree). The record is from RNAcentral. Lineage: Eukaryota; Viridiplantae; Streptophyta; Magnoliopsida; Malpighiales; Euphorbiaceae.